RNAcentral lists this ribosomal RNA (87 nucleotides) under Anopheles apicimacula. RNAcentral's name for it is "partial 5.8S ribosomal RNA". It matches the Rfam family "5.8S ribosomal RNA", at positions 68 to 154 of the family's 154-position model. Rfam says of the family: 5.8S ribosomal RNA (5.8S rRNA) is a component of the large subunit of the eukaryotic ribosome. It is transcribed by RNA polymerase I as part of the 45S precursor that also contains 18S and 28S rRNA. The record is from RNAcentral. Lineage: Eukaryota; Metazoa; Arthropoda; Insecta; Diptera; Culicidae.
UGAACUGCAGGACACAUGAACAUCGAUAAGUUGAACGCAUAUUGCGCGUCGGGCGACACAGCUCGACGCACAUAUUAUUGAGAGUCC